UACAGAGGGGGCAAGCGUUGUUCGGAAUUACUGGGCGUAAAGGGCGCGUAGGCGGCCUACUAAGUCGGACGUGAAAUCCCCGGGCUCAACCCGGGAACUGCGUCCGAUACUGGAAGGCUUGAAUCCGGGAGAGGGAUGCGGAAUUCCAGGUGUAGCGGUGAAAUGCGUAGAUAUCUGGAGGAACACCGGUGGCGAAGGCGGCAUCCUGGACCGGUAUUGACGCUGAGGCGCGAAAGCCAGGGGAGCAAACGGG
Molecule: ribosomal RNA, 253 nt
Filed under: uncultured bacterium
Lineage: Bacteria
Description: partial 16S ribosomal RNA
Rfam family: Bacterial small subunit ribosomal RNA
Source: RNAcentral